RNAcentral lists this ribosomal RNA (1032 nucleotides) under Triticum aestivum (bread wheat). RNAcentral describes it as "partial small subunit ribosomal RNA". The record is from RNAcentral. Lineage: Eukaryota; Viridiplantae; Streptophyta; Magnoliopsida; Poales; Poaceae.
AUGGGGCAUCACUCUUGCUGCAACCAGCAGAAGGUGAAGGGGGGCCUGUGGUCUCCUGAGGAGGAUGAGAAGCUCGUCCGGUACAUCACCACCCAUGGCUAUGGCUGCUGGAGCGAGGUCCCCGAGAAAGCCGGAUUGCAGCGGUGUGGGAAGAGCUGCCGGCUGCGGUGGAUCAACUACCUGAGGCCCGACAUCCGGCGAGGGCGGUUCUCGCCGGAGGAGGAGAAGCUCAUCAUCAGCCUCCACGCCAUUGUUGGCAACAGGUGGGCCCACAUUGCCAGCCACUUGCCUGGCCGGACCGACAACGAGAUCAAGAACUACUGGAACUCGUGGAUCAAGAAGAAGAUACGCAAGGCUCCGGCGGCGCCGAACGUAACCACCACCUCGUCCACGACGUCGACGAGCCCACCUAACAACGGCCUGGCACCGUGCAGCGGCAGCACGGCCACGUCGGACGUCCACCACCGCCGUCUGCAGCAUCCGACGUUCAGCUGCGCGCCAGCGGGGGACCACCUGCAGCUCGACGCCAUCAUCGGCCACCACCAGAGCACCAGCCUAGCCCUGCCGGUUGCCGCCGGGGCCGGGCAGGACUCGCCGCCAGGAAUGUCGCAUCACUGCCCGCUCUUCAUGUUCGACACCGGCGUCGUCAGCACGCCGUUCGCAUCAGCCGCGGCGCAGCAGCACCCGUUCAUCGCCAGCUUCACGGCAGCGAUGGCGGAAGCGGACACGCCCAGUUGCUACCACCUACCUCCCUUGGUGGACGGCAUGGGUGCCAUGGGAAUGUGCAUGGAAGCCAUGGACGAUCACUGCGGCGCCGGCGCCGGCAUGGGCAAUGGGUGCUUCGGGGACGAGCAGAGGCAGCGGCGGCGGCCGGGGCUGGAGGAGGAGGAGGGGGAGCAGCUAGGGCAGCAUGAGCAGUGGGACGAGGAGCAGCUGCUGAUGUGGGAUGAUCAAGAAGUACUAACACCGUCCAACAUGGAGGCCAUGCAAAGUGGUGAACACUCCCUCCUUUUUAUGGGACCAAACGCAUGA